This 82-nucleotide unclassified non-coding RNA is filed under the name Mus musculus (house mouse). Its description in RNAcentral is "partial derived from hnRNA or mRNA fragment, or novel small non-messenger RNA without known sequence-or structural motifs". The record is from RNAcentral. Lineage: Eukaryota; Metazoa; Chordata; Mammalia; Rodentia; Muridae.
GUGCCAUGAUGCCCACUUGCUUUCACUGUUUGGCCACUGACUCAGGAACCUGUGGGCAAAUAUCUUUGUAUGGACAUAAGUA